ACUUUUUCUGCUUUUUAUAUAUGAAUGAUUAUUACGUAGACAGGUUUUUAAUUGUCAACCUCAAAUUAAGUGUAAAAACAAUAAUGCUAACAUGUUUUUUUUAAAUUAAAGUUAACUUUUGGCUAAAUGUAGUGUAUCUACAGAGUUGUCAGAGAUAAAUAAUCCACGACUUGUUUAAUAUCAUCCAUCGGGAUUUGGGGAAGCAGCAGCUGAACUUCUGCAGGCAGCAGGAUUACUGACAUUUGAACUCUGAUUUGUGGACCAUCUAAGAGGAAACGAAUACCAUCAGUGGUGAAACAGCGACAUUGUGUGGCGGAAAGAUAACAGAUCUGUCUCUACACCACCGGCACAUGGGGGUUGUUUGGAGCUGCUGGGGGUUGAAAGGCUGACGGGGGAGGAACGACUCUGGCCUUUGUUCUGGUGUUUCCAGCGACCCCGUCGCACUCGUCUGACGUCACACAACCCCCGUCUUUCUCCCAGCAUUCCUCUGAAAUACAUCAGACACACACAAAAAGACUCAAAUGAACUAUUUCAGAAUCAUUUGAAUCAAAUUUUCAAAGCAGAAGUUGGAUUUGAGAAGAUUUUGUUUCAUGAGAUCCAAGUAAGAUUUCUCCUUGGAUGGUUUUUAUCUAUUGUAGCCUCUGUAAAGUCCACAGCUUUCUCUCAGAACAGACCUCAGACAAGUACGCAGCAGAGGAGGAAGUGGUUUAAAAAGCGCUCACAGACAGGCCCCUAUCGCACUAGUUCUCUAGUGCAUAUACUAAAAUUGGAACGAUACAGAGAAGAUU
This 788-nucleotide long non-coding RNA is filed under the name Oryzias javanicus (javanese ricefish). The record is from RNAcentral. Lineage: Eukaryota; Metazoa; Chordata; Actinopteri; Beloniformes; Adrianichthyidae.